UCAGUGAAAUCGAGUAGGACGGGACACGUGUUAUCCUGUCUGAAUAUGGGGGGACCAUCCUCCAAGGCUAAAUACUCCUGACUGACCGAUAGUGAACCAGUACCGUGAGGGAAAGGCGAAAAGUACCCCUGUGAGGGGAGUGAAAUAGAACCUGAAACCGUGUACGUACAAGCAGUAGGAGCAGGCUUGUCCUGUGACUGCGUACCUUUUGUAUAAUGGGUCAGCGACUUAAUUUUAGUAGCAAGGUUAACCAUCUAGGGGAGCCGUAGGGAAACCGAGUCUUAACUGGGCGUCAUAGUUGCUAGGAUUAGACCCGAAACCGAGUGAUCUAGCCAUGGGCAGGUUGAAGAUUGAGUAACAUCAAUUGGAGGACCGAACCGACUAAUGUUGAAAAAUUAGCGGAUGACUUGUGGCUAGGGGUGAAAGGCCAAUCAAACUCGGAGAUAGCUGGUUCUCCCCGAAAGCUAUUUAGGUAGCGCCUCGGACGAAUACUACUGGGGGUAGAGCACUGUUAAGGCUAGGGGGUCAUCCCGACUUACCAACCCUUUGCAAACUCCGAAUACCAGUAAGUACUAUCCGGGAGACACACGGCGGGUGCUAACGUCCGUCGUGAAGAGGGAAACAACCCAGACCGCCAGCUAAGGUCCCAAAGUUAUAGCUAAGUGGGAAACGAUGUGGGAAGGCUCAGACAGCCAGGAUGUUGGCUUAGAAGCAGCCAUCAUUUAAAGAAAGCGUAAUAGCUCACUGGUCGAGUCGGCCUGCGCGGAAGAUUUAACGGGGCUAAGCUAUACACCGAAGCUGCGGCAAUGUGCUAUGCACAUUGGGUAGGGGAGCGUUCUGUAAGCCGU
RNAcentral lists this ribosomal RNA (848 nucleotides) under Photobacterium damselae subsp. damselae. RNAcentral's name for it is "partial 23S ribosomal RNA". It matches the Rfam family "Bacterial large subunit ribosomal RNA", at positions 399 to 1251 of the family's 2925-position model. Lineage: Bacteria; Pseudomonadati; Pseudomonadota; Gammaproteobacteria; Vibrionales; Vibrionaceae. The record is from RNAcentral.